Drosophila simulans is the source of this 13581-nucleotide long non-coding RNA. RefSeq lists it as uncharacterized. The record is from RefSeq and is a predicted model, not a curated record. NCBI's taxonomy places the organism in Eukaryota, Metazoa, Arthropoda, Insecta, Diptera, Drosophilidae. The transcript is spliced from 3 exons.
UUCUUACACUUGCAAUUAUAUCUGCAAUGUGUGCAAAUUUCAGGAGAGCAAAUCGAGCGAAUUAGACGAUUGGAGUGUGUGGGUGGAUGGGUGCAGGAGAGUGUGUUUGCGCGCGUUACGCCCCUUGAUUUAAUUUGCCAACUUCUUGGGAUUUUGCAUUUUAAUAUAAACACUUUUACUCCUAGUUGGCUGCUUAUAUCGAAAGCGAGACAGUUGUCUCUUUUUUAUACACACAUUUUCACACACGCACAGUCACAAACACAGUCACAAGUGGGAAGUUCUGCUUCCUUUCCCUCCCAUCACUUGCCAUCCGCCCACCCCAGUGCAGACACCGCGACGAAGAGGGGAGAGCUAUCAAGACCAAGACAGAGACAGAAAUAGAGACAGAGCGUUUUUGCAUAUACUUCUCUCGUGGACCACGUGCUCAUUAAAUCGCUGACGGCAAUUCAUAGAGAACAUCCAACAACCGACUAGCGCGGCACAGCACCCUUUCCUGUGGUGUGCUCUUUUCAGCUUCUUUCCUUUCCUGCGAUUUCCAUUCGCACACCCUCGUUGCGCUCAGCUCGAGGCAGCUCGGCUUUACUCGGCUGGGAUCGUUUGGCACAUAAUGCAAUUAAAAAUAAAAAACUAUUCCCGGACGGAAUCCGUUGCGAUAGCUUCGAUACAUCAAAAUAGUGCAGGAUUCUCUUCAUUAGAAGUGGAAUAAAACUCUGCUCUUCUUGUCUACGGAUUGAAGUUUUUGUUGCUAGGGACCAAUACUUGCACAUCAUACAUACGGAUAAGGUUUCCGAGAUUUCGAUGUUAAUACGGACAGACGGACAUUUCAAGUGAUCCUGCGCUUAUAGAGGGAAUGCUACAGCCGACUAUCAGCUACCCGUCAGUCAGCUAGGGGAAAAGAGAACGAGAAAUUUCAACAGUUUUUGGCAUUGGGGAAUAUAAUAAGAAAAGUCUUAAGUUGUUCAAAGGGAUGGUCGCGACCGUUUUGGGCAAAAACCAAAAAAUAACAAAAUAUUUUUCAAAAGCGUGGGCGUGGCAGUUUUGGGCGGUUUGUGGGCGUUAGAGUGAGCUUGGCAACAAGCUUGCACUGCCUCUAUGCGUCUAGAAUCUGCAUGCUUAAUCUCAACCUUAUUUCCUUUAUAGUCCCUAAGAUCUGGACGUUAAUACGGACAGACAGACGGACGGACAAGCCCAGAUCGACUCGGCUAUUGAUCCUGAUCAAGAAUAUAUAUACUUUAUAUGAUGGGAAUCUCUUCCUUCUAUCUGUUACACACUUUUUAACGAAUCUAGUUUUCGCAUUUACUCUACGAGUAAUGGGUGCAUAUAUACAAGCGAUUUUCCGCGUUCGAAUGGAAAUUUCAAAAAUGAAAUAUUUUAUGAAUAUACAGCAUAUAUGUACAUAUGCCUAUGUAAAAGUAUACUCACCGUCGCACACGCAGUACUUUGAAUUAGCAUUCUUAAUCAUAUAUGUAUAUACAUUCGUAUUUCGACAAGGCAAGAACAUACAUAUUUACGCGGUAGUCUGUUGCAAAAGUCGCGUCUGCGUUUACACUUUUAACAAGAAAUGAAGAUAACACGCAUGUCAGAGGGGAAAGGAAUAGAUAAAACCCUUUCUGGCACUCACUCUCUUUCGUUUAACGUCAUGCGUUUACUCUCGCUUUUACAUACUCGCUAAUGCACGGCAAGGUAUUAGAAUACGCUUAUAUACCCAUAUAUAUGAAACAAGAGAGAAUGCUAUAGUCGAAUUCCCCGUUUCUCAGCGAGUGGAAAUUCGAAUUCGCGAAAUUGUAUUAUUUAUCUGGCAUAUCGAUAGAUAUGGGAGAUGGGAGAAUAAAAUGGGAAAAAAUUAAAAAUUGGUCGUUUUGAUUGUGUAAGGAGGGGCAUGACGAAAGUGUUUUUGGUAUACCGAUAGAAAUUGGCAAGGCAAACGACAAAUUUUGGAAAAGGACAUAUUCCUUGCAGUUUUGGGCUGCUUUUGAGCGUUAGAGUGGGUGUGGUAAGAGCAAAAAGUUUUUUGCCAAAUCGAGAGAAAUUUACAAGACCAAUAAAUAUAUGAAUAAACAUAAAAACAUUUUGGAAAAGUGUGGGCGUAGCUUUUAUUGGCCGUGGGAGUUAGAGUGGGCGUUACAACAUUUGGAAACAAACUUGUGCUGCGCUUAUGUCUCUGGAAACUGCAUGCUUAAUCUCAACAUUCUAGCUUUUAUAGUUCCUGAGAUACGGACGGACAGAUCCAAAUCGGGUCGGCUAUUGGGCCCACAAUUUUUUUCAUUAUACCCGUUGCUUGAAGAGAAAAAGGGUGUAAUAUAUUCGUUGAAAACUAUGUAACAGGCAGAAGUACGCGAUUCCCAAUAUAUAAAGUAUAUAUAUAUUCUUGAUCAGGAUCAUUAGCCGGAUCGAUCUGGCCAUGUCCGUAUGAUAAUAAGAAAUAUAUAUAUCAUGUACUAUAAAAUUAAAAAAGAGCUAAAAAGGUUGAGAUUAAGAAUACAGAUUCUAGAGACAUAAACACAGCGCAAGUUUGUUGACCCAUGUUGACCGAAACACUGUGGCCACGUUCCUCCAUUCACCUAUAAGCCGCCCAAAAGCGGUCACGCCCACACUUUUAAACAAGUUUUAGUUUUUUCUCAUUUUAUUUAACAAUAUCUAAUGAUAAAAUUUUGAGUUCGCAUUCCCACAAGAUGAGUAACGGGUAUCUGAUAGUCUAGACUAUAGCAUUCUCUUUUGUUUUCUUUGUAUAUUGGAAGUUCUAGAAAAUCCAGUUUUUCGUCAUUCGUCCAAUUCAUAUUCCUUGUAUCUAUAAACAAACCUAGCUAUCAGAUAAAACACUCAGGUGUCAAUGUGUUUAGUUUAUAUGUUUCAUCCACGAGAAUGGCAGUUGACGUAGUGACAAAGCGUGGCAGGAGAGAGUGCGGAACGAAAAAAUUAAAAUUGUGGUACAUCGACUCGGAUGUUGUACAUAAUCAUCUACAUAACAUACAUAUAUGUAUGUAUAGGGUCGGAUACGCUUCCUUCUACCUGUUACACAUUUUUGUGUAGUAUGCACUUUUACUCUACAAGUGACGGAUAUAAACAUUUUUCCGAACCUAGAAGAUGCAUAUCAAUAGGUUUUAAGACGCAAAUCUUUAGACAUUUCCAACGCCUUUUAAUCAGUAGCUUCACAAUUGCCAUGCACACAUAAAUUCGCCAUACAGAACUUGGAAAAUAAUUAAUUAAGUAAUUUCUUAAGUCAUUAACAAAUAAUUCCGAUGAGACAGGGCCCCGGCUUUUAGUUAUUAUUACGUUCAGAGGGACCUAUUUCCCAAAGGGUAGUCUACUGAUUCAGAAGAAGCUUAAAGUAAUGGGAAGAGCUGGUAAACUACAUAUGAAUCGAUGAGUACACCGAUAUUCAGAAUGCAUUGCUUGGAUUUAAAAAGAAACCAAAUGUUUCGUGUUUAUCACAUGCUUAUGUACAAUUACCGUGUUGGGUACACAUUCCCUUGUAAACAUACAAACUGAGAUAUGCAGUAUGCAAAGGCUUUUGUGUUUGGAUAUUUUAAGUAAAUACAGGUGAGCAAACAAGUUUUUGACGAGGUCUCCGUUUUGACUCUCAGAUAAACUUUUGUUUCCGUGGUCACUGGGUUUGGAAAUCACGGGUUCUUGUAUUUAAAGUCGAACAGAUCAAUAUUUAAAUUAUUCAUCGGUAUGCCUAUGCAUGUCAGUGCAUUUGUAUUUUCUGUCAUAAACCCGAAACCCAAAAACCAUGUAACAAGGUAAUAGUCACACCGAUCCGCGCUUGUCGGCUAGCCUUCCAAAAAUAAAUAGGGAACACACAUAAAUAAAUGCAAGUGUUUUAACAAUAAUUUCGGGAAUAUCUUUUUAUUUAUAUGAUAUAAUUUUAUUUUACGUCUCCUUAGGGUCGGGUGAGCCAGUUAGCCAGAUUCUGAAUCUCAACUUUUUAGCCUAUAUAGUUCCCGAGAUCUACAGACUCACACUCUUUUCAACGAACAUAGUGCACCCAUUUACUCUAUAUAAUAUAUAACAUUUUUGCUUAUAUUUUGCUUUCGUAUCUGUUGAAGAUAGCAACAGGUUGUAGAAUUAAGUAGUUUUUCACGGUAAAAAAAAGUCGGCAACAUUUUUUCUUAUUUUCUGUUUUCAAAGUUGAGCCCUUUUCCUUUGUUAUGUUCUCGACAUGUGGGCCGACACUUUAGAGUUGGACAGUCGACAAUUUAUUGAUGUGAUUCGACGAUUGUUCCCUUUUUCAUUGACGAGAGGCCUAUUCCAACUGGAUUAUCUGACCCUUUUGAUCACGUCAUUUUACGCGCAUAUGUCUGAUUUCGGUUAAGUUUCGGUAUGCUAUAAUACUUCAAAUCGGUAAUAUUUACUGUUUUUACAAUAAGUUAAAAUCGAGUGAUUUAGUUUUUUGUUUGAAAGAUUCACAUUCUUACUCGCAUUCAUGGACUAUAUCUUUUGUCCAAACGCAUGAAUAAAUUAAAAGGUACAUAGAUUGGCUGACGUAAUAAAGAUUAGAAUAUGGAACUGCGUACUACGGUCGCCUAGUCACAAGGAUUGUGUCGACUAAAGGGAUUGAAAAAUCACGACAUGGGGUGAAAAUAUGGGUUGAAUGAUCACAAAACUUCAGUUCCUAUGUGACAAAGAUAAUAUACCGGGAUAGAUAUUAUACAGAUAGACGCAGCGCAAGGUUUUUGACCCAUGUUGCCACGCCUACUCUAACGCCCACAAACCGACCAACACAGCAACGCGAAAAAGUUAUGGAAAUGUUUAUUCACCUCUCUUUUAACACUUUUAAAGUUUUUUUUUUAAAUUUUUCUCAUUUUUUUUCAUUUUAUUUAAUAUCCAUUGAUAUGCCAGAAAAUUAUGCAAUUUCUCGUUCGCUAGUGGAAAUCACUAGCAGAAUAACGGGUAUCUGAUAGUGCUCUGCUAUAUAAUUCUCUCUUGUUUCAUUUUACUCCUUGUCAACAUCUAUAGAUAUGCUAAAAAAAUUCUGAAAUUUCUUAAAUUUUAACCAUCAAUAGCUAUUAAUGCAUGGAAGCAUCUGGUUUCUUCGUUCAAAAUAAUAAAUUCUUACAGCAAUAUAAAUAUUUUUAUGUUAUCCCGCAAUAAAGGAAUAUCGCAGUAUUAGGAUAUCAAAAAAUGUCACAAAAAAUGUUCGUUUGAUCAGUCGAAACAUUAACACAUCAAAUACGUGCAUAUGUAUGUAUGCCCAUUCAUUAUUUAUAAAUGUUUUUCGUAUCUUCUAUGGCGCACACACCUUAAAUGACGAUAGAUGAAUGGACGGGAACUCCGUUUGACGCUUUCUGAAUGAAUUUUAAAUAGUUUUGCAUAUUUAAACUAUUUUGUGCUGGCGGUACCUCUAGCAGCUUUCGGGCAAUCACCAGUAUGCCAUUUCCAUAGGUAAGCUACACAAAUGUAAAUCAAAACAGAUCCCAGACUACAGUCGUGAAGAUAAUCAGAAAACACUAUAUUACAGUAUUCCUAAGAUGGAAUAAAUUCAGAUAGAAUUUUUGUUUACACUUACAUUAAUUAUUUAAACCUUGUGUUCGUUGAAUUACAGUGGCCUUGCAAAAACAAAAUAAGUGAUAUCCAGUUGUUUGCUAACCUCCAUACCCGGCGUCGACAAUAAGUACGUUGUUGAAAUUACCGAAAUCGGCUAGAAUUGGUAAUAAUGCACAUACCUAAGAUUUCGAUUACCUAGAUACAGGAAUUCUAUUCGUAUAAAUUAUACAGAUAUAGUUUAUAAAGUCAGGUAUUUGUGUAUAAUAUCCUUUUCAUUGGCAACCACCCACUAAAAAUACAUUUGCACAUGCACUUACCUGUUGUUUUACAUAUAUAAGAACUAGUUUCCUUAUUUUGCAUUUCCAUUAAUGUCAAAAUAUGAAUGGAAAUAAACUAAUGAGAUAGGACCAGGUAGAACAAAAUAGUCGGUUUCCUCGACUAUCAUAUACCAUCGCUAUUUGGCAUAUUAAUAGAAAUUGGCUAUAAGAACGGUUAACGGAACAAGUACCGGGAAUAAAACAAGAGAGAAUGUUGUAGUAGAUGCGAACGAAAAGUUAAAUAUUUUUUCUGGGAAAUCGAUAGAUAUUGGGGAAUAAAAUGAGAACAAAAUUUAAAAAUUGUUUAAAAGUUUGGGCGUGAGAAUUUUUGGAGGUUUGAACGCAUUAGAAGAGAGGUGGCCAAAGUGUUUUUGGUAUUCCGUUAGAAGAUAGAUUGGCAAGACAAACAAUAAAACGAAGAAAAUCGGAACAUUUCCCAGUUUGUUGGCGUUAAAGUGGGCAACAUGGGUCAACAAACUUACGCUGCGUCUAUCUAAAAUCUGUAUGCAAAAUACCCACUUUUAAGCUUUUAUAGUUCUAGAAAUCUCGAUGGUCAUUCGGACCAUCGGAAAUUUUCAGAUCGAGUAGUAUUAAUAAAUAUGGUUACAUACUUUUCAACGAGUCUAGGUCACCAUUGCAAGAAAGCACGUAGUAACGAAUGCACCAGGAGAGUAUGCGAAGGCGACAACUAUAUACUCGUAUGUACUCAAGGAAAUGAAAUGAAAAUGAAAAUAAAUCUGUGGUCCAUACGGGCCAAAGGCAGUAAUUGGGCGGGAUGAAUUUUAAGAUUUCCCAUUGAAGUCGUCAAGUGCCAAAUUAAAAUUCAAUGGGUUGCGCUUCAUUAUCCCAAAUGGAUGCGAAAACAAAUGCGGGCGUUAUUUGUUAUUAUUUCCCUAAUUCCGGAUGUUAAACGCCUAUACAAGGAACCAUCGCUGCCAUCCCCAAUUUUUAAAUUCAAAGCUCUUUUAAAGCAAUUAAACUGGAAACAAUGUCCCCCAUACAAUUUGGUCGAAGCUGACCGCAGAUUAGGUAUUUAAAUCUCUUUUUUUUACUCCCGCCUUCUCCAGAACUGUCAGCAUAAUUAUCCGUUUAACGCUUUCGCCACUAUUAGCAGAACGACAACAUAAUUAAUUAAUUUUUUUUGAAUAAAGAUGCAAUGGUGCCAUGUUCCUCUUAAGCUUCAUUCCAGGCAUCUGAUUUUUUUAACUUCUUCAUUAAAGUGGUACCUAACUCGAAAAGAAUGCCUGUUUAAUAUUCUUGGAAAAUGCGUCAUUUUGCAUUAUGUGGUUUUCCAAAAUGAGCCUGACAUUUGAAAUGAUUUCUGCAGCCCAUGACAGAAGAGCUUUCAUUUAAUUUAACAAUAAUUUGAUAAGUGCUUCUACGCAAAUGAGUUUGUAACAAAUAAUACAGUUGAUGCGCACCACUGACUUACCAAUUAUAAAAAGUAAUGUCAUAGCAUUUUAGUAGACGGGCGAGCGAUCUAGGUAGAGUCAGUUUAGGGAAUUAAAUUAAUGAAAAUGGCAUUUUCUUCAAAAAUAUUACACAAUCUCUAUGUCGCAUAUAAGCAGCUGUGGAUUUUCGAUAUUUUGUUAAAGUAAUUAGACAUAGGAAGCGUUAAAAAAUAUUUCUAGGUGGUUUGAGAUCAAAACGUAAAAACAAUUCUCUAAAUUGUUUUUAGGCAUGUUCUAUUAGGCAUUAAUAAACAAUAUAUUUUUUGCGGUUAAAAACAUAAAACUAAUCCAUUUUUAAUGAAAUUGUAGAGUAAUAAGUAGAAUAGUAAUGUAUGUACAUAUUUAUUAUGAGAACUUACUGUUGAUUUCAGCUGAUUCAAAAGCAAUGCUCAAUAUAAACAAUUUACCUGCAGAAUAGGAACCAAAAAUGUCUACCCAGUCAAAAUCUCGGAACAAGGGCAGAUUCAAGUUUGAAUCUCUAAAUUGGCACGGUCUUUUGAAAUAUGUUUUAUUACUUGGGAGCCAAAAUAGCUUGAAUAGAUUAAUUGGAAGCAAAUAUUUCUAUAUGUAAACACUUACGUGUCUCAAUGCUAUCAAUUGCGUUAGCCUCAUGGAAAACCGGGGGUGAAUGGAUUUGGUGUACAUAUAAUGAAUUCUUAUUCGCAAAAAGAGAAUUAGCAGCCAGCACAAAUAAUAUGUUGAUGCAUGUAUUUCGAAUUGGCUGCUUGGGAGUAGUAAGUGUCGCAGAACGCGUAGAGUACUCCCCGUAAUUACGCUCUCCAGUUAAUCAAUGGUUACUUUGUGGUUUUUAUGACCACUUUGGCGUAGGGGAGGGGAUAAUGUGUCUUAUGCUUUAGCCAAAUCUAAUUAUACGUCAAUGACACUGCAUAUUGAAGAAGUCAGUACAGUCACCAUUGACCUAUUAUGGUUUUCUUUUUGGAUUCGAUGAAUAUAAAUUACACAUUUAUGGAAAUCGAUAUUUGUUCGAAUUCAAAUACUUUAUACAUAUUUUGAUGAUUUAGAUAAUGUCGUCACAAACUGAACGCUUGAUAAUUUGACUGGGCUUUAUGAAAGUGGAUGAUAAACAAUUGACAAAGCUGGCUUCGACACAUAUACACAUACAUAUGAAAAAACUGAUGAGUACCGAACACUUUUUGAUCACAAACAAAGAAAAUAUGAUUUAUAUUUUAAUAUUUGCAAUGAAUUUGCUUUAUGAAAUAAUCUAUCUAUUUAAUAUUAUCUAUCUAAUCUAAUAUCUAUUUAAUAUAUUGUCUAAAACCUAGUGUAGAUUAAAAAUAAAAAGAUAAAAAGGAAAGGAAUAUAAUGAGGUAUGUAAUGUAAAAUUCUGUUCAACUUUUGCGAUAAAAAGUAAUUUAGCACUUGACAUUUGAUACAGUCUAAAACUUUUUGUAAUAUCAGGACAUAGUUAGUAGAGGGUGGGAUCGUCACUUGUUUUUUUUACCUCGCCAAGAGGUGUCUUACACUUCAAGUUUUUUCGUAAGGCUAUUAAUUUUAUAUUUGUUUCUUACGUUUACCUCACCACUUUGAGGAGAAGUAGCUUGCAAAAACUCAUUAUAUUCAUAAUAAUAAUCAUUUAUAUUUUAAAAUAUUUUAAAAGUGAUUUUAUGUGUUCAAUAUUAAGAGUUUAGGAUUUUUCAAAGCUAUCAAAUUUAAAGGGCUAUACAGUUAAAAUUACAAAAAAAAAUCGUUAGACUUAUUUUCAAGAAAUCCAACAAAGUGAAAACGAAAGCAACCUUUUUUUCUGUUCCUAGGCAAAUAAUGUUAUAUACUUUUUUUAUGGAAAUACAGCCUUUAACCUUACAGGUUCUGAAAUUAUAAGCAAGAUUUAUAAAUUAUAGAAAGUGUACCUUAUUUGAGUUCACUAAGCUAAAGUGGUUUUCCAAAAACUUCUUAAACAAAAAACCGAAAUAUGUUUAGAUUGCUCCAUCUAACCGUCCGAAUGAACGUUGACAUUUGGGGAACUUUAAAAGCUAUAAGGCUGAGAUUAGGCCCGAAACUGCCAUUCAAUUGAAAUUUUUUAUUUUAUUUUAUUAAUUACUUGCCAUUAGUUGAUCAGGUGGCACCUCCGAAGCACGGCAAAAUAAAUAUUACACACGAAAGUCUGUAACCCAAAAUACACUCCCACUAGGCGCGUAAACGGUAUUUGAUAGUGGAUGAACUCGAAUACAGCAAUAUCUCUUGUGUUGUUUUACAUUAUAAAAUAUUUGAAUAUUUUGAGUUACAGACUUUCGUCUGCAAACUACUUUGGUUAGAAGAAAUUGCAAAAACUCCGGCUGGAGCAAGCAACCUCGCGGCAUCGAUAUUAACGCAGUUAAUCGUAUAUCUCGGCACGCACGAACGACAAGAGGAAGGUCAAACAGUUGUCGACGCAACACACCCCCAUCACCAAACACCCUAGCCAGAUGGUCAUCUCGGCUGCUAAGGCGGGCGACGUACAAAUUAAGUUCCUGUAAAUUUCCGGUUUGCAUCGAUGUAAAUGAAACAAAGGCAAUUAAUGUGAUUCGUGAUUCUGAUGCUAACACGGCGACAAAGAUACCCCACUCUAUGUGACCUUUGUAACCUUUUCAUUUCACUCACUAAAAGCACGCAUUUUCGCAGGCGCAAAUCACAAAGAAUGUGGAGAACGCGACGUGAUAUUCACACUGCUAUUUUGCUACCGCUUUGAAUGAAAAUUAAUAAACAAAUAAAAUUAAGAAAGCUUACGGGUUACAAUUGAAGGUCACUGAUACUUCUUAUUCUUUACCGAAAAUCUUUUCAAUCUACUUGUAACCUACUUAUUUGUACUUACUUUACUUUAUUUUUAAAUUGACACUUCUUCGGUUCUAAAAUUAAUCAAAAUUAAAUUAUUUAUUUAUUUGAAAUUUAAAAAUUCUUAUUUUCUAAAAAUUCCUCGAAUCAUUACUAUAGUUUUACCUCGUUAGGAGGUAUGUGUGUUUCAUAUGUUCCUAUUUACAAUUUGAUUAAAAAUUUUUGUGACAUUAAAAUGUAUAAUACGUUAUAUAUCAUAAUUUGAUAUAUGUAUGUAUCCUUAACAAAUGUACAAUAAAUAAUGUAAAUUUUGCCAAAUUUGUAAUGUUGUUUAAAAACAAAAAAUACAAAAACGUUUCUUGUAGUAACUAUGUAAAAAAUUUAAAAAUAGUCGAUUGCGUAGUUUUUGCGCUAGAAUGUUCACAGAAUUCAGAAGUGACAAUAGCACACUUUAUCGUUUUCUCUCUAACUUCCUUGAAAACGAUAAAAAAAAGAAAUAUCAAUUAUACAUACAUGUAUGUAUGUAUGUAUAUACAAACGAUUCAGCCCGAAGGUAUGCAUACAUAUUUUGCGGUUACUGCAUUGCGUUGGCUCGAAUGUAUUUUAAAUAAUUUUUACAUUUUCAGUGAUUUUAUGAGCUUCAUUGCCAAAUGCCUGUAUGAAAAUUAAUUAAAAACAACUUAUUAGAAAUAAAAAAAAAAUUAUAAUCAACCGGAGUAGAACUGCAGUCUUUCUUUUGGGAAUCAUGCUCUGUAUGCGUAUGCAUGUUUGAUUUAUACGUUUGCUUGCUUUUUAACGUUAGUAUUUAUUAAGAAAUAAUUAUUGUUUUGUUGGAAUGGGGCAGAUCGUGACCACCACAAACAUUUGAUUUAGUGCUCGUUGCGUUCUGUGAAGCCCACCGUCUUAAAUAUUAAUGAAAUUAUGUCUUCCUUUAUUAACAGCCGAGCGGACUUGCUCUCUUUCCAUAUUGCCACAGAAGUUCGGGGAAAACGCUGUUGUACUAUCAGGAGACCGACAAAAAACUUUGGGGGUGCCAUUCUCGUCGUUGGGCUUGGUCUCAAGUGAAUUCCCUUCGAGUCCACGCAAAUCCAGUUCUAUGUGCCAUCCAUAGCGCAGCGUAUUCCCGAACCAACGUUGCGGACCACCGUUACGAGCGCACAAAAAAAACUACCCCGACAAAAUUAUAAUGAAGUUGGUGGUGGUGCAGAGGAAAGCAAAGUGUGCGUCGAAAACAGGGUACGGCGACCAGUAACGGAGAACAAGACCUGGGUCCCGCGGUCCGGGGUCCUGGGCACGGGACCAAGAGAAUCGGGUGGAGUGGGCUUUCUUUGCCACCUUCCUUCCGCCUGCUUGUGCAGUUGGAACACCACCACCCUGGGUUAAAAUUAAAAAAGCGAAAACAAAAACUCGGCGCGUUGGAUGUUGUAUGUAUGUAUGUAAGUAUCUGCUUGCGUAGGUACAUAAAAAACGAGAUCAUCCACGGUGAUGAAACAGAAGCAUCCCCAGUGCCCCUGGAAUGUACAAAUGUAUGCAUGUGUGUAUGAUUUUAUGUAUGUAUGUAAUUAUGCAUGCAUGUGCGCGCACACAGCAGAGCAUCGAAGGUAUGGCAGUGUGCGUACGCACGCACCAUUUAUGCAUGUGCUUAUUUGUCGCUUUGAGGAAUGCUUUAACUUCUGUUGUCCGCUCUUCUUUCUGGUGACCUGUGACCCUGACUGUGCGUAAAAGGACGACCGGAGCCCCACCAUUGCAGGUAAAAAUCGUGUCAACAUGCAGCGUGAGUGCAGGAUAAACAAUUUAAUUAUCAAACAAGAAAUUUUAAAACUCAGGUUUGCUCUUUGUUGCUAACAGAAAUGAAGAAGGUGAGUUAACUUUUGGCUGAGAGUAACCAAUACAAUUUUUGUCAAUUGUAAUUAUAAUAUUAUGCUCAUGAAUGAAAAAUGUUGAUCAUUAUUAAUCUAAAAGUCAUGAAUAAAGUAGGUUAACAUGGCAUGGGAGAUGCGUGCAUUCGUGUGUUUUUGUUUAAUGUGUAUUUUGGUAUAAUGUUAGCAACCAGAUGUUUAUUAGACAAAAUUACAACAAUUUGUUAUUUUUAUACUUUUUACGAUGUUUAUAGGGUAUUUCAGAUUCAUUAAAAAGUCCAUACGUAUGUAUGUAAGUGGUAUUAAAUUGGGCCCUGAUCACGAGCCAUGUCCGUUUGCCUGUAUGUUAGUAUAAGUGCCUAUUUGUAUGUCAACAUUUUAAGCUAUCGCCCUAGCAUUCCCAUAAUCUAAGUAACAGUCUGAGUAACAGUUGAGGAACUCACUAUAGCGUUCUCAUGGAUAUUUAUAUUUUUAACAGAAACUGUAAUUAUAGUCGAUUUUGGCUCCUAAAUCCCAAACGCAAGCGUGUUAUCUUGAGAAAACACAACUGUUAAACAGAUUAGGACUUUGAAUUCUAGUAAUGAAAACGGAUUACUAUUUACAAGUUAUAGGCGAAGGCACCUGAUAUACAGUGUUAUUGUGGAUUUACUCUUAAAUUUGCUUAUCACUGGAAAACUUUGUCUUGAACUAUAAAUUAUUAUAAAAAUCUUGGCAUACAAUCCCUUUAAAUUCUGUGUUACCUUUCGAUUGGUGUAUCUCCAUGAUUGGACUACAGAUCUCAAUUCUUCGUGAAUAUUUGUGAAGUAGUCGAAAAAUCUCUCUCUCCGAAAAGAUAUUAAAACAUUUUAAGGGCCUGACAGUUUUGUGUGGUUCGACGUUCUUAAGCAAACUUGAGCCGCUCGUCCGCUUUACUAAUGCCUAACCUCAACUUCCAAGUUUUUUCCCAGAUCGCAGCCCUCAAACAGAGAGACAUGCCGGAUGGACAUAUAGAUAGACGGGCAUCCGGCCCUGGCCAAAUCGAGUCAACUAGGAUCGGAAAGGCUCCUCGUUACGCACUUCACAUCUCUACGAGUAACGGGAAUAAUUAUAAGUGUUGUAGAGGGUAUAUUGAUUUCAGUCGCAAGUUUGCAACGCAGUGAAGGAGACAUAUGCUACGAUAUAAAGAACACUAUAAUAAAGCUUCCUUUCUUGUUUUUAACUUUCAACAUGUACAUAUAUGUAUAUGGUGGCAUUUGUAAGUAUGUAUUGGGGGUGUACUUUUUUACUGAGGGUGACAAACAACUGCUGCUGGGUACAGUUUUUUAUAUUGAUUUUAAUAUUGAUUUUGUUGCACAUUAUUAACAUUUACGUCGAAUCCAUCCACACCACCGAAAACGAAAAUCAAUUCAGCUGUCACAAGAAUUUAAACGUUUUAACCCUUUUUCUGUUUGAUAUUUGAAGCGGAAAACUAUGUGUUGUUCAGUUUUUAACCCUCACAUUUAUACUGGCUAUUUCUGGUAUUUCAAAAUGGCAAAUAUUACGUGUUUAGUUGUCUUAGUCUUACGUGUCUUAGUAAAUUGAAUUAGGUAAUUAACGUUGCACAGUUACUGAAUGCGGUCACGAAAACAGUCCCUGAAGCAUAGAUUCGGAGACAUACUUAUAUUUUUUCCAAUAUAGAGGACCUUAUUCUUGACAUCUUUGAUUCAGGAUUUUUUAAUG